RNAcentral lists this ribosomal RNA (485 nucleotides) under uncultured bacterium. RNAcentral's name for it is "partial 16S ribosomal RNA". It matches the Rfam family "Bacterial small subunit ribosomal RNA", at positions 28 to 523 of the family's 1533-position model. The record is from RNAcentral.
GACGAACGCUGGCGGCGUGCUUAACACAUGCAAGUCGAACGGUGAAAGCGGAGCUUGCUCCGCUGGAUCAGUGGCGAACGGGUGAGUAACACGUGGGCAACCUGCCCCUCACUUCGGGAUAACUCCGGGAAACCGGGGCUAAUACCGGAUAUGACCUCCUUGGGCAUCCUUGGAGGUGGAAAGUUUUUCGGUGAGGGAUGGGCCCGCAGCCUAUCAGCUUGUUGGUGAGGUAGUGGCUCACCAAGGCGACGACGGGUAGCCGGCCUGAGAGGGCGACCGGCCACACUGGGACUGAGACACGGCCCAGACUCCUACGGGAGGCAGCAGUGGGGAAUAUUGCGCAAUGGGCGAAAGCCUGACGCAGCAACGCUGCGUGCGGGAUGACGGCCUUCGGGUUGUAAACCGCUUUCAGCAGGGAAGAAGCCGCAAGGUGACGGUACCUGCAGAAGAAGCACCGGCUAACUACGUGCCAGCCGCCGCCGUAA